Molecule: non-coding RNA, 155 nt
Organism: Triticum aestivum (bread wheat)
Lineage: Eukaryota; Viridiplantae; Streptophyta; Magnoliopsida; Poales; Poaceae
Source: Rfam
GAGCUACUCCCUCCGUUCGGAAUUACUUGUCGCAGAAAUGGAUGUAUCUAGACCGUUCGGAAUUACUUGUCGCAGAAAUGGAUGUAUCUAGACGUAUUUUCGUUCUAGAUACAUCCAUUUCCGAGACAAGUAAUUCCGAACGGAGGGAGUAGAUG